GAUGAACGCUGGCGGCGUGCCUAAUACAUGCAAGUCGAGCGAACGGACGAGAAGCUUGCUUCUCUGAUGUUAGCGGCGGACGGGUGAGUAACACGUGGAUAACCUACCUAUAAGACUGGGAUAACUUCGGGAAACCGGAGCUAAUACCGGAUAAUAUUUUGAACCGCAUGGUUCAAAAGUGAAAGACGGUCUUGCUGUCACUUAUAGAUGGAUCCGCGCUGCAUUAGCUAGUUGGUAAGGUAACGGCUUACCAAGGCAACGAUGCAUAGCCGACCUGAGAGGGUGAUCGGCCACACUGGAACUGAGACACGGUCCAGACUCCUACGGGAGGCAGCAGUAGGGAAUCUUCCGCAAUGGGCGAAAGCCUGACGGAGCAACGCCGCGUGAGUGAUGAAGGUCUUCGGAUCGUAAAACUCUGUUAUUAGGGAAGAACAUAUGUGUAAGUAACUGUGCACAUCUUGACGGUACCUAAUCAGAAAGCCACGGCUAACUACGUGCCAGCAGCCGCGGUAAUACGUAGGUGGCAAGCGUUAUCCGGAAUUAUUGGGCGUAAAGCGCGCGUAGGCGGUUUUUUAAGUCUGAUGUGAAAGCCCACGGCUCAACCGUGGAGGGUCAUUGGAAACUGGAAAACUUGAGUGCAGAAGAGGAAAGUGGAAUUCCAUGUGUAGCGGUGAAAUGCGCAGAGAUAUGGAGGAACACCAGUGGCGAAGGCGACUUUCUGGUCUGUAACUGACGCUGAUGUGCGAAAGCGUGGGGAUCAAACAGGAUUAGAUACCCUGGUAGUCCACGCCGUAAACGAUGAGUGCUAAGUGUUAGGGGGUUUCCGCCCCUUAGUGCUGCAGCUAACGCAUUAAGCACUCCGCCUGGGGAGUACGACCGCAAGGUUGAAACUCAAAGGAAUUGACGGGGACCCGCACAAGCGGUGGAGCAUGUGGUUUAAUUCGAAGCAACGCGAAGAACCUUACCAAAUCUUGACAUCCUUUGACAACUCUAGAGAUAGAGCUUUCCCCUUCGGGGGACAAAGUGACAGGUGGUGCAUGGUUGCCGUCAGCUCGUGUCGUGAGAUGUUGGGUUAAGUCCCGCAACGAGCGCAACCCUUAAGCUUAGUUGCCAUCAUUAAGUUGGGCACUCUAAGUUGACUGCCGGUGACAAACCGGAGGAAGGUGGGGAUGACGUCAAAUCAUCAUGCCCCUUAUGAUUUGGGCUACACACGUGCUACAAUGGACAAUACAAAGGGCAGCGAAACCGCGAGGUCAAGCAAAUCCCAUAAAGUUGUUCUCAGUUCGGAUUGUAGUCUGCAACUCGACUACAUGAAGCUGGAAUCGCUAGUAAUCGUAGAUCAGCAUGCUACGGUGAAUACGUUCCCGGGUCU
RNAcentral lists this ribosomal RNA (1372 nucleotides) under uncultured bacterium. RNAcentral describes it as "bacterial SSU rRNA". It matches the Rfam family "Bacterial small subunit ribosomal RNA", at positions 28 to 1381 of the family's 1533-position model. The record is from RNAcentral.